This 1184-nucleotide long non-coding RNA is filed under the name Anser brachyrhynchus (Pink-footed goose). RNAcentral's name for it is "lncRNA (ENSABRG00000004085.1)". The record is from RNAcentral. Lineage: Eukaryota; Metazoa; Chordata; Aves; Anseriformes; Anatidae.
UGGGCUGAGCGAGAGCGCGGGCGGGCCGCGGGGGCCGGGCAUGGUGCUCUGAGGCGCUCUCGUUUCGCUGCGAGGGUCUGCUGAGGGUCAAUUGAUUUGCCUUUCAGCGCGGGGGGAGAAAGAGUUUUAACCCCGUUUUUUUGUUAGUGGAGACCUGUAAAGAGAAGGAAAUGAAAACUGAAAUAGUCACACGGUGUUGUGUCCCUUCCAGCUAACUGCUACGAAACACUCCUUGCUGCAGCGUGGGCUUGCACAGAUUCCUGUGCUUCCGCCUCAAGAAGCACAGACAAGCAUAAGGAAGUCUCAGGGCAAAUCCUGUUUAGGAGACAGCUGCACAGAAAAGAUAAUUCAAGAGUAGACCAUAGCAGGUCAAAUAUGAAGAGUGGCUUCCCACCUCUGCUCCCAGCAGUACGUGCUAGCCAAAAGCUGUUAGGGAGUUGUUUCCAGACAACUGAGAGCAUUUUAAAGGCCACACUCACCUGGGUGUUGGGUUUGAAUAGCAGAUUUUCCCUUCUGUAGAUUCUCCCUUCUCGUCUGGUGUUACAGUGUGAGCUCCCAGCCUUGUUUCAGUGUGCUUGCUCUCUGGGCUGAAGACCACAUAUUAGCUCGGAGCAGCAUUCGGGCAGCACUUUUAACAAGGAGCUUCUCGUCUGUUUGACAUGGGAGUAGAGAAAAGUUGGGCAGGCCAUGCAGUAUGGGUUCUUACAUAGGCCUCUGUAUGGAUGAGUGUGAUACUUGUGUGCAAAGGACAGGAAAUCUCAGAAGGGAGAACACGUCACUAAGGACAGAGAGAUCAGGACUAGCUCAGCCUGACCACGGAAAUGUCAAUGGGAAGAAGGAGCAGGACACAGUGGCGACCUUCCUUCUGCUGCCCUUGGAAGCUCUGUCUGGGACACGUGCCUUUGACCAGGUGCACCUGGUCAAAGAGGAUCCAGCUGCCCACCCUGUCUGCCUCUCUCCAGUGUGCCCCCUGUGACUGGGGAGAAAAAAAGGACACGAAGCUGCAGAGCGUGAAGCGAGUUGCAGGUCCUGUCUGUCCAAGGGAUCACAUUUGCUGGACCACAUGGGCUGGCAAGUACCAGGGCCAAUGUGACCAAGCCACGGCCCUGAAGAGGGGCCAAGUCUCCUGGGGAGCUGGAGCCCAAAGGGAAAUAAACAUGGUAAACCCAAUGGACAACACUUAG